This 801-nucleotide ribosomal RNA is filed under the name Demequina salsinemoris. RNAcentral's name for it is "bacterial SSU rRNA". It matches the Rfam family "Bacterial small subunit ribosomal RNA", at positions 110 to 923 of the family's 1533-position model. The record is from RNAcentral. Lineage: Bacteria; Bacillati; Actinomycetota; Actinomycetes; Micrococcales; Demequinaceae.
GUAACACGUGAGUAACCUGCCCCAGACUCUGGGAUAAGCCUUGGAAACGAGGUCUAAUACCGGAUAAGCGGCUCCACCGCAUGGUGAGGGUUGGGAAAGUUUUUCGGUCUGGGAUGGACUCGCGGCCUAUCAGCUUGUUGGUGAGGUAAUGGCUCACCAAGGCGACGACGGGUAGCCGGCCUGAGAGGGCGACCGGCCACACUGGAACUGAGACACGGUCCAGACUCCUACGGGAGGCAGCAGUGGGGAAUAUUGCACAAUGGGCGAAAGCCUGAUGCAGCGACGCCGCGUGGGGGAUGAAGGCCUUCGGGUUGUAAACCCCUUUCAGCAGGGAAGAAGCGAAAGUGACGGUACCUGCAGAAGAAGCGCCGGCUAACUACGUGCCAGCAGCCGCGGUAAUACGUAGGGCGCAAGCGUUGUCCGGAAUUAUUGGGCGUAAAGAGCUCGUAGGCGGUUCGUCGCGUCUGCUGUGAAAGCACGAGGCUCAACCUCGUGUCUGCAGUGGGUACGGGCGGACUAGAGUGUGGUAGGGGAGACUGGAAUUCCUGGUGUAGCGGUGGAAUGCGCAGAUAUCAGGAGGAACACCGAUGGCGAAGGCAGGUCUCUGGGCCACAACUGACGCUGAGGAGCGAAAGCGUGGGGAGCGAACAGGAUUAGAUACCCUGGUAGUCCACGCCGUAAACGGUGGGCACUAGAUGUGGGGCUCUUUCCAUGAGUUCCGCGUCGCAGCUAACGCAUUAAGUGCCCCGCCUGGGGAGUACGGCCGCAAGGCUAAAACUCAAAGGAAUUGACGGGGGCCCG